CCUACGGGAGGCAGCAGUGAGGAAUAUUGGUCAAUGGGCGCGAGCCUGAACCAGCCAAGUCGCGUGAGGGAAGACGGUCCUAUGGAUUGUAAACCUCUUUUGCCGGGGAGCAAAAAGCGGUACGUGUACCGCAUCGCGAGUACCCGGAGAAAACGCAUCGGCUAACUCCGUGCCAGCAGCCGCGGUAAUACGGAGGAGGCAAGCGUUAUCCGGAUUUACUGGGUGUAAAGGGAGCGUAGACGGCAGCGCAAGUCUGGAGUGAAAUCCCAUGGCUUAACCAUGGAACUGCUUUGGAAACUGUGCAGCUAGAGUGCAGGAGAGGUAAGCGGAAUGCCUAGUGUAGCGGUGAAAUGCGUAGAUAUUAGGAGGAACACCAGUGGCGAAGGCGGCUUACUGGACUGUAACUGACGUUGAGGCUCGAAAGCGUGGGGAUCAAACAGGAUUAGAUACCCUUGUAGUC
Molecule: ribosomal RNA, 460 nt
Filed under: uncultured bacterium
Lineage: Bacteria
Description: partial 16S ribosomal RNA
Rfam family: Bacterial small subunit ribosomal RNA
Source: RNAcentral